Molecule: ribosomal RNA, 253 nt
Filed under: uncultured bacterium
Lineage: Bacteria
Description: partial 16S ribosomal RNA
Rfam family: Bacterial small subunit ribosomal RNA
Source: RNAcentral
GACGAACCGUGCGAACGUUGUUCGGAAUCACUGGGCUUAAAGGGCGCGUAGGCGGGCUGUCAAGUUUGGGGUGAAAUCCCGCGGCUCAACCGUGGAACUGCCUCAAAUACUGACGGCCUCGAGGAAGGUAGGGGCAUGCGGAACUGUAGGUGGAGCGGUGAAAUGCGUAGAUAUCAAGAGGAACACCUGAGGUGAAGACGGGUUGCUGGGCUGAUACUGACGCUGAGGCGCGAAAGCUAGGGUAGCAAACGGG